Molecule: ribosomal RNA, 323 nt
Filed under: uncultured Pseudomonas sp.
Lineage: Bacteria; Pseudomonadati; Pseudomonadota; Gammaproteobacteria; Pseudomonadales; Pseudomonadaceae
Description: bacterial SSU rRNA
Rfam family: Bacterial small subunit ribosomal RNA
Source: RNAcentral
CUCGUGUCGUGAGUGUUGGGUUAAGUCCCGUAACGAGCGCAACCCUUGUCCUUAGUUACCAGCACGUUAUGGUGGGCACUCUAAGGAGACUGCCGGUGACAAACCGGAGGAAGGUGGGGAUGACGUCAAGUCAUCAUGGCCCUUACGGCCUGGGCUACACACGUGCUACAAUGGUCGGUACAAAGGGUUGCCAAGCCGCGAGGUGGAGCUAAUCCCAUAAAACCGAUCGUAGUCCGGAUCGCAGUCUGCAACUCGACUGCGUGAAGUCGGAAUCGCUAGUAAUCGUGAAUCAGAAUGUCACGGUGAAUACGUUCCCGGGCCUU